Lolium rigidum is the source of this 90-nucleotide small nucleolar RNA. RefSeq annotates it as small nucleolar RNA R24. NCBI's taxonomy places the organism in Eukaryota, Viridiplantae, Streptophyta, Magnoliopsida, Poales, Poaceae. The record is from RefSeq and is a predicted model, not a curated record. The transcript has a single exon.
AUUGCUGCGAUGAGCUGUAACACAUGAGUAGCCCAACCAAUUGAUUUGUCCUUCUUCAUAAUAUUCUUUUACGCUUGGUUUUUGAGCUGA